GAUGAACGCUGGCGGCGUGCCUAAUACAUGCGAGUCGAGCGAACGGACGAGAAGCUUGCUUUUCUGAUGUUAGCGGCGGACGGGUGAGUAACACGUGGAUAACCUACCUAUAAGACUGGGAUAACUUCGGGAAACCGGAGCUAAUACCGGAUAAUAUUUUGAACCGCAUGGUUCAAAAGUGAAAGACGGUCUUGCUGUCACUUAUAGAUGGAUCCGCGCUGCAUUAGCUAGUUGGUAAGGUAACGGCUUACCAAGGCAACGAUGCAUAGCCGACCUGAGAGGGUGAUCAGCCACACUGGAACUGAGACACGGUCCAGACUCCUACGGGAGGCAGCAGUAGGGAAUCUUCCGCAAUGGGCGAAAGCCUGACGGAGCAACGCCGCGUGAGUGAUGAAGGUCUUCGGAUCGUAAAACUCUGUUAUUAGGGAAGAACAUAUGUGUAAGUAACUGUGCACAUCUUGACGGUACCUAAUCAGAAAGCCACGGCUAACUACGUG
Molecule: ribosomal RNA, 497 nt
Filed under: uncultured bacterium
Lineage: Bacteria
Description: partial 16S ribosomal RNA
Rfam family: Bacterial small subunit ribosomal RNA
Source: RNAcentral